This 706-nucleotide ribosomal RNA is filed under the name uncultured bacterium. RNAcentral describes it as "bacterial SSU rRNA". It matches the Rfam family "Bacterial small subunit ribosomal RNA", at positions 129 to 877 of the family's 1533-position model. The record is from RNAcentral.
CCCUUCACUACGGAAUAGCCUCGGGAAACUGAGAGUAAUACCGUAUACGCCCUUUGGGGAAAGAUUUAUCGGUGAAGGAUUAGCCCGCGUCUGAUUAGAUAGUUGGUGGGGUAACGGCCUACCAAGUCGACGAUCAGUAGCUGGUUUGAGAGGAUGAUCAGCAACACUGGGACUGAGACACGGCCCAGACUCCUACGGGAGGCAGCAGUGGGGAAUCUUAGACAAUGGGCGCAAGUGAUCUAGCCAUGCCGCGUGAGUGACGAAGGCCUUAGGGUCGUAAAGCUCUUUCGCCAGGGAUGAUAAUGACAGUACCUGGUAAAGAAACCCCGGCUAACUCCGUGCCUGCAGCCGCGGUAAUACGGAGGGGGUUAGCGUUGUUCGGAAUUACUGGGCGUAAAGCGCGCGUAGGGGAUUGGAAAGUUGGGGGUGAAAUCCCGGGGCUCAACCCCGAACUGCCUCCAAAACUAUCAGUCUAGAGUUCGAGAGAGGUGAGUGGAAUUCCAAGUGUAGAGGUGAAAUUCGUAGAUAUUUGGAGGAACACCAGUGGCGAAGGGGCUCACUGGCUCGAUACUGACGCUGAGGUGCGAAAGUGUGGGGAGCAAACAGGAUUAGAUACCCUGGUAGUCCACACCGUAAACGAUGAAUGCCAGACGUCGGGGGGCUUGCCUUCGGUGUCACACCUAACGGAUUAAGCAUUCCGCCUGGG